RNAcentral lists this ribosomal RNA (1338 nucleotides) under uncultured bacterium. RNAcentral's name for it is "bacterial SSU rRNA". It matches the Rfam family "Bacterial small subunit ribosomal RNA", at positions 28 to 1387 of the family's 1533-position model. The record is from RNAcentral.
GACGAACGCUGGCGGCGCGCCUAACACAUGCAAGUCGAACGAGCGAGAGAGAGCUUGCUUUCUCAAGCGAGUGGCGAACGGGUGAGUAACGCGUGAGGAACCUGCCUCAAAGAGGGGGACAACAGUUGGAAACGACUGCUAAUACCGCAUAAGCCCACGGCUCGGCAUCGAGCAGAGGGAAAAGGAGCAAUCCGCUUUGAGAUGGCCUCGCGUCCGAUUAGCUGGUUGGUGAGGUAAUGGCCCACCAAGGCGACGAUCGGUAGCCGGACUGAGAGGUUGAACGGCCACAUUGGGACUGAGACACGGCCCAGACUCCUACGGGAGGCAGCAGUGGGGAAUAUUGCACAAUGGGGGAAACCCUGAUGCAGCGACGCCGCGUGGAGGAAGAAGGUCUUCGGAUUGUAAACUCCUGUUGUUGAGGAAGAUAAUGACGGUACUCAACAAGGAAGUGACGGCUAACUACGUGCCAGCAGCCGCGGUAAAACGUAGGUCACAAGCGUUGUCCGGAAUUACUGGGUGUAAAGGGAGCGCAGGCGGGAAGACAAGUUGGAAGUGAAAUCCAUGGGCUCAACCCAUGAACUGCUUUCAAAACUGUUUUUCUUGAGUAGUGCAGAGGUAGGCGGAAUUCCCGGUGUAGCGGUGGAAUGCGUAGAUAUCGGGAGGAACACCAGUGGCGAAGGCGGCCUACUGGGCACCAACUGACGCUGAGGCUCGAAAGUGUGGGUAGCAAACAGGAUUAGAUACCCUGGUAGUCCACACUGUAAACGAUGAUUACUAGGUGUUGGAGGAUGGCCCCCCUCAGUGCCGCAGUUAACACAAUAAGUAAUCCACCUGGGGAGUACGACCGCAAGGUUGAAACUCAAAGGAAUUGACGGGGGCCCGCACAAGCAGUGGAGUAUGUGGUUUAAUUCGACGCAACGCGAAGAACCUUACCAAGUCUUGACAUCCUGCGACGCACAUAGAAAUAUGUGUUUCCUUCGGGACGCAGAGACAGGUGGUGCAUGGUUGUUGUCAGCUCGUGUCGUGAGAUGUUGGGUUAAGUCCCGCAACGAGCGCAACCCUUAUGGUCAGUUACUACGCAAGAGGACUCUGGCCAGACUGCCGUUGACAAAACGGAGGAAGGUGGGGAGGACGUCAAAUCAUCAUGCCCUUUAUGACUUGGGCUACACACGUACUACAAUGGCGUUAAACAAAGAGAAGCAAGACCGCGAGGUGGAGCAAAACUCAGAAACAACGUCCCAGUUCGGACUGCAGGCUGCAACUCGCCUGCACGAAGUCGGAAUUGCUAGUAAUCGCAGAUCAGCAUGCUGCGGUGAAUAAGUUCCCGGGCCUUGUACU